RNAcentral lists this ribosomal RNA (397 nucleotides) under uncultured bacterium. RNAcentral's name for it is "partial 16S ribosomal RNA". It matches the Rfam family "Bacterial small subunit ribosomal RNA", at positions 523 to 918 of the family's 1533-position model. The record is from RNAcentral.
AUACGUAGGGGGCGAGCGUUGUCCGGAAUGAUUGGGCGUAAAGGGCACGUAGGCGGCCCGGUAAGUCUGGAGUGAAAGUCCUGUUUUUAAGAUGGGAAUUGCUUUGGAUACUGUCGGGCUUGAGUGCAGGAGAGGUAAGUGGAAUUCCCAGUGUAGCGGUGAAAUGCGUAGAGAUUGGGAGGAACACCAGUGGCGAAGGCGACUUACUGGACUGUAACUGACGCUGAGGCGCGAAAGUGUGGGGAGCAAACAGGAUUAGAUACCCCGGUAGUCCACACUGUAAACGAUGAAUGCUAGGUGUAGGGGGUAUCGACCCCUUCUGUGCCGCAGUCAACACAAUAAGCAUUCCGCCUGGGGAGUACGGCCGCAAGGUUGAAACUCAAAGGAAUUGACGGGG